UGAGGAAUAUUGGUCAAUGGGCGGGAGCCUGAACCAGCCAAGCCGCGUGAGGGAAGAAGGCCCUAUGGGUCGUAAACCUCUUUUGUCAGGGAACAAAAGCGAGUAUGUAUACUGGUCUGAGUGUACCUAAAGAAAAAGCAUCGGCUAACUCCGUGCCAGCAGCCGCGGUAAUACGGAGGAUGCGAGCGUUAUCCGGAUUUAUUGGGUUUAAAGGGUGCGUAGGCGGCGGUGCAAGUCAGCGGUAAAAGCCCGGGGCUCAACCCCGGCGAGCCGUUGAAACUGCAGUGCUAGAGAAGGCGAGAGGUACGCGGAAUGCGCAGUGUAGCGGUGAAAUGCUUAGAUAUUGCGCAGAACUCCGAUUGCGAAGGCAGCGUACUGGCGCCUGACUGACGCUGAGGCACGAAAGCGUGGGGAUCGAACAGGAUUAGAUACCC
This 434-nucleotide ribosomal RNA is filed under the name uncultured bacterium. Its description in RNAcentral is "bacterial SSU rRNA". It matches the Rfam family "Bacterial small subunit ribosomal RNA", at positions 355 to 787 of the family's 1533-position model. The record is from RNAcentral.